This 468-nucleotide ribosomal RNA is filed under the name uncultured bacterium. Its description in RNAcentral is "partial 16S ribosomal RNA". It matches the Rfam family "Bacterial small subunit ribosomal RNA", at positions 28 to 507 of the family's 1533-position model. The record is from RNAcentral.
GACGAACGCUGGCGGCGUGCUUAACACAUGCAAGUCGAACGGAAAGGCCCUGCUUUUGUGGGGUGCUCGAGUGGCGAACGGGUGAGUAACACGUGAGUAACCUGCCCUUGACUUUGGGAUAACUUCAGGAAACUGGGGCUAAUACCGGCUAGGAGCUCCUGCUGCAUGGUGGGGGUUGGAAAGUUUCGGCGGUUGGGGAUGGACUCGCGGCUUAUCAGCUUGUUGGUGGGGUAGUGGCUUACCAAGGCUUUGACGGGUAGCCGGCCUGAGAGGGUGACCGGCCACAGUGGUGCUGAGAUACGGCGCAGACGCCUGCGGGAGGCAGCAGUGGGGAAUAUUGCACAAUGGGCGGAAGCCUGAUGCAGCAACGCCGCGUGCGGGAUGACGGCCUUCGGGUUGUAAGCCGCUUUCGCCUGUGACUAAGAGUGAGUGACGGGAAUGUGUAAAGAAGCACCGGCUAACUACGUG